CCUACGGGAGGCAGCAGUGGGGAAUAUUGCGCAAUGGGGGCAACCCUGACGCAGCCAUGCCGCGUGAAUGAAGAAGGCCUUCGGGUUGUAAAGUUCUUUCGGUAGCGAGGCGUUAACUACAGAAGAAGCACCGGCUAACUCCGUGCCAGCAGCCGCGGUAAUACGGAGGGUGCGAGCGUUAAUCGGAAUAACUGGGCGUAAAGGGCACGCAGGCGGUGACUUAAGUGAGGUGUGAAAGCCCCGGGCUUAACCUGGGAAUUGCAUUUCAUACUGGGUCGCUAGAGUACUUUAGGGAGGGGUAGAAUUCCACGUGUAGCGGUGAAAUGCGUAGAGAUGUGGAGGAAUACCGAAGGCGAAGGCAGCCCCUUGGGAUGACUGACGCUCAUGUGCGAAAGCGUGGGGAGCAAACAGGAUUAGAUACCCUUGUAGUC
RNAcentral lists this ribosomal RNA (431 nucleotides) under uncultured bacterium. RNAcentral describes it as "partial 16S ribosomal RNA". It matches the Rfam family "Bacterial small subunit ribosomal RNA", at positions 338 to 795 of the family's 1533-position model. The record is from RNAcentral.